RNAcentral lists this ribosomal RNA (2722 nucleotides) under Escherichia coli. Its description in RNAcentral is "partial 23S ribosomal RNA". It matches the Rfam family "Bacterial large subunit ribosomal RNA". Lineage: Bacteria; Pseudomonadati; Pseudomonadota; Gammaproteobacteria; Enterobacterales; Enterobacteriaceae. The record is from RNAcentral.
GGUUAAGCGACUAAGCGUACACGGUGGAUGCCCUGGCAGUCAGAGGCGAUGAAGGACGUGCUAAUCUGCGAUAAGCGUCGGUGAGGUGAUAUGAACCGUUAUAACCGGCGAUUUCCGAAUGGGGAAACCCAGUGUGUUUCGACACACUAUCAUUAACUGAAUCCAUAGGUUAAUGAGGCGAACCGGGGGAACUGAAACAUCUAAGUACCCCGAGGAAAAGAAAUCAACCGAGAUUCCCCCAGUAGCGGCGAGCGAACGGGGAGGAGCCCAGAGCCUGAAUCAGUGUGUGUGUUAGUGGAAGCGUCUGGAAAGGCGCGCGAUACAGGGUGACAGCCCCGUACACAAAAAUGCACAUAUUGUGAGCUCGAUGAGUAGGGCGGGACACGUGGUAUCCUGUCUGAAUAUGGGGGGACCAUCCUCCAAGGCUAAAUACUCCUGACUGACCGAUAGUGAACCAGUACCGUGAGGGAAAGGCGAAAAGAACCCCGGCGAGGGGAGUGAAAAAGAACCUGAAACCGUGUACGUACAAGCAGUGGGAGCCUCUUUAUGGGGUGACUGCGUACCUUUUGUAUAAUGGGUCAGCGACUUAUAUUCUGUAGCAAGGUUAACCGAAUAGGGGAGCCGAAGGGAAACCGAGUCUUAACUGGGCGUUAAGUUGCAGGGUAUAGACCCGAAACCCGGUGAUCUAGCCAUGGGCAGGUUGAAGGUUGGGUAACACUAACUGGAGGACCGAACCGACUAAUGUUGAAAAAUUAGCGGAUGACUUGUGGCUGGGGGUGAAAGGCCAAUCAAACCGGGAGAUAGCUGGUUCUCCCCGAAAGCUAUUUAGGUAGCGCCUCGUGAAUUCAUCUCCGGGGGUAGAGCACUGUUUCGGCAAGGGGGUCAUCCCGACUUACCAACCCGAUGCAAACUGCGAAUACCGGAGAAUGUUAUCACGGGAGACACACGGCGGGUGCUAACGUCCGUCGUGAAGAGGGAAACAACCCAGACCGCCAGCUAAGGUCCCAAAGUCAUGGUUAAGUGGGAAACGAUGUGGGAAGGCCCAGACAGCCAGGAUGUUGGCUUAGAAGCAGCCAUCAUUUAAAGAAAGCGUAAUAGCUCACUGGUCGAGUCGGCCUGCGCGGAAGAUGUAACGGGGCUAAACCAUGCACCGAAGCUGCGGCAGCGACACUAUGUGUUGUUGGGUAGGGGAGCGUUCUGUAAGCCUGUGAAGGUGGCCUGUGAGGGUUGCUGGAGGUAUCAGAAGUGCGAAUGCUGACAUAAGUAACGAUAAAGCGGGUGAAAAGCCCGCUCGCCGGAAGACCAAGGGUUCCUGUCCAACGUUAAUCGGGGCAGGGUGAGUCGACCCCUAAGGCGAGGCCGAAAGGCGUAGUCGAUGGGAAACAGGUUAAUAUUCCUGUACUUGGUGUUACUGCGAAGGGGGGACGGAGAAGGCUAUGUUGGCCGGGCGACGGUUGUCCCGGUUUAAGCGUGUAGGCUGGUUUUCCAGGCAAAUCCGGAAAACCAAGGCUGAGGCGUGAUGACGAGGCACUACGGUGCUGAAGCGACAAAUGCCCUGCUUCCAGGAAAAGCCUCUAAGCAUCAGGUAACAUCAAAUCGUACCCCAAACCGACACAGGUGGUCAGGUAGAGAAUACCAAGGCGCUUGAGAGAACUCGGGUGAAGGAACUAGGCAAAAUGGUGCCGUAACUUCGGGAGAAGGCACGCUGAUAUGUAGGUGAAGCGACUUGCUCGUGGAGCUGAAAUCAGUCGAAGAUACCAGCUGGCUGCAACUGUUUAUUAAAAACACAGCACUGUGCAAACACGAAAGUGGACGUAUACGGUGUGACGCCUGCCCGGUGCCGGAAGGUUAAUUGAUGGGGUUAGCGGUAACGCGAAGCUCUUGAUCGAAGCCCCGGUAAACGGCGGCCGUAACUAUAACGGUCCUAAGGUAGCGAAAUUCCUUGUCGGGUAAGUUCCGACCUGCACGAAUGGCGUAAUGAUGGCCAGGCUGUCUCCACCCGAGACUCAGUGAAAUUGAACUCGCUGUGAAGAUGCAGUGUACCCGCGGCAAGACGGAAAGACCCCGUGAACCUUUACUAUAGCUUGACACUGAACAUUGAGCCUUGAUGUGUAGGAUAGGUGGGAGGCUUUGAAGUGUGGACGCCAGUCUGCAUGGAGCCGACCUUGAAAUACCACCCUUUAAUGUUUGAUGUUCUAACGUUGGCCCGUAAUCCGGGUUGCGGACAGUGUCUGGUGGGUAGUUUGACUGGGGCGGUCUCCUCCUAAAGAGUAACGGAGGAGCACGAAGGUUGGCUAAUCCUGGUCGGACAUCAGGAGGUUAGUGCAAUGGCAUAAGCCAGCUUGACUGCGAGCGUGACGGCGCGAGCAGGUGCGAAAGCAGGUCAUAGUGAUCCGGUGGUUCUGAAUGGAAGGGCCAUCGCUCAACGGAUAAAAGGUACUCCGGGGAUAACAGGCUGAUACCGCCCAAGAGUUCAUAUCGACGGCGGUGUUUGGCACCUCGAUGUCGGCUCAUCACAUCCUGGGGCUGAAGUAGGUCCCAAGGGUAUGGCUGUUCGCCAUUUAAAGUGGUACGCGAGCUGGGUUUAGAACGUCGUGAGACAGUUCGGUCCCUAUCUGCCGUGGGCGCUGGAGAACUGAGGGGGGCUGCUCCUAGUACGAGAGGACCGGAGUGGACGCAUCACUGGUGUUCGGGUUGUCAUGCCAAUGGCACUGCCCGGUAG